RNAcentral lists this long non-coding RNA (1163 nucleotides) under Capsicum annuum. RNAcentral's name for it is "long non-coding RNA (CANN_LNC001253)". The record is from RNAcentral. Lineage: Eukaryota; Viridiplantae; Streptophyta; Magnoliopsida; Solanales; Solanaceae.
CUGCAUAUUUUGUGCUUUCUGAAAGUGGGUCACACGCGCCAGGUGGCGCUUGGGGAAGGGCUAAUGCAGUUGACUGGGCAGGUGGCAUUGAUGUGGCUUGCAUUGGAAGUCAACAAUUGACUUUGACUUUGACCAUUGACGUGGCAUGUCCACGUGUAUAUUUUUAAUUUUAAUUUUGCUUUUUUCAAAUUUUGAAAAAAAAAAAAAAUUCUACAAGUGGACCUACUAACACUUCGACCAACUUUAACUUGAGAAUUUUGGAUCAAAGUGUAUCUUUUCUAUCUUCUUCAAGAACUCAAGAAUAAGAAAAAACCUCAAUCUUCAAAUAUUCAUAAGUCCUUCGUUUUUGCUCCAAAUUCAACGAAAUUUCCACCCACGUGCUCCUUUCAACAGCACGAACAAACCUCACUAUUUUUUAGUCUUCAAUUCCAAGCCAAAAAUAAAUCCACUUUUCAAAAUUGACAAGUUUCAAAAGCUUCAACCUCUUUAAUGGUAAUUUCACUACUACACGUCUAAAUCAAAUGAAAUUCGAGAUUUAGGCUCAAAAAAUACUAAGGAAUCAAGAUAGUGUCAAAAGCAACAAAUCAAAACAAAAAAAAUUCUGAAAUUUUUGGAUGAUUUUUCUUGGAAUUUUUUUUUAUCAUUAUUUUUGAACAGAUCUAUACCCCAAGAUUUAGAUUUGUGAAAACAAACCUAAACCUAAGCUCCUAUGCCAAAAUGAUAAGAAUCAAAGAAGGAAGAACAAGAAAGAAGGAAAACAAAGAAAAAGGAUAUGUGGGUUAACACACUCAAGCUCUUGAAAUUAUGGGCAAUAAGGGGCUAAACCCUCAAUCUUUAGUCUCGAGUAGUAGUUAACGCACUAUUUAAUUGCAGUAAUUAUUUCCUUGUAGUAGUUAACUCCAGUAAUAGUUACUCCACUAGUUAGUUGUAGUUUCUUAGUCCAGUAGUAGUUACUUCUUUGCAGUAGAUUUGCAAUUUUUCAUUCCAGUAAUAUUAGAAAGUCAUGUCUAGUGUCUAGGGGUAGUUAUCUUGUUAGUAUUUGUAUUUAAAUUCCGUGUUUAUCCCAGGAAAUCUAAGCAGAAAGUUAAGUUUUAAAGUACUUCAAACUCAAGAGAUCGCAGGUUCUCUGUUAAUGAACCAGUGCCAUAGGCUGUAUGAAGAAG